UGCCGUUGUGGCGGAAUUGGCAGACGCGCUGGACUCAAAAUCCAGUUCCUUCACGGGAGUGUGGGUUCGACCCCCACCGACGGCAUC
This 87-nucleotide transfer RNA is filed under the name Periweissella ghanensis. Its description in RNAcentral is "tRNA-Leu". It matches the Rfam family "tRNA". Rfam says of the family: Transfer RNA (tRNA) molecules are approximately 80 nucleotides in length. Their secondary structure includes four short double-helical elements and three loops (D, anti-codon, and T loops). Further hydrogen bonds mediate the characteristic L-shaped molecular structure. tRNAs have two regions of fundamental functional importance: the anti-codon, which is responsible for specific mRNA codon recognition, and the 3' end, to which the tRNAs corresponding amino acid is attached (by aminoacyl-tRNA synthetases). tRNAs cope with the degeneracy of the genetic code in two manners: having more than one tRNA (with a specific anti-codon) for a particular amino acid; and 'wobble' base-pairing, i.e. permitting non-standard base-pairing at the 3rd anti-codon position. RNAcentral also lists the same sequence under 1 other name. Lineage: Bacteria; Bacillati; Bacillota; Bacilli; Lactobacillales; Lactobacillaceae. The record is from RNAcentral.